This 253-nucleotide ribosomal RNA is filed under the name uncultured bacterium. RNAcentral's name for it is "partial 16S ribosomal RNA". It matches the Rfam family "Bacterial small subunit ribosomal RNA", at positions 524 to 776 of the family's 1533-position model. The record is from RNAcentral.
GACGAACCGAGCGAACGUUGUUCGGAAUCACUGGGCUUAAAGGGCGCGUAGGCGGGUUCGCAAGUCUGUGGUGAAAUCCCUCGGCUCAACCGAGGAAUUGCGCCCAAAACUACUGGGCUUGAGGGAGUUAGAGGUGAGCGGAACUCACGGUGGAGCGGUGAAAUGCGUUGAUAUCGUGAGGAACACCGGAGGCGAAAGCGGCUCACUGGGGCUUCACUGACGCUGAGGCACGAAAGCUAGGGGAGCAAACGGG